UGGGGAAUAUUGCACAAUGGGCGGAAGCCUGAUGCAGCAACGCCGCGUGCGGGAUGACGGCCUUCGGGUUGUAAACCGCUUUCGCCUGUGACGAAGCGUGAGUGACGGUAAUGGGUAAAGAAGCACCGGCUAACUACGUGCCAGCAGCCGCGGUGAUACGUAGGGUGCGAGCGUUGUCCGGAUUUAUUGGGCGUAAAGGGCUCGUAGGUGGUUGAUCGCGUCGGAAGUGUAAUCUUGGGGCUUAACCCUGAGCGUGCUUUCGAUACGGGUUGACUUGAGGAAGGUAGGGGAGAAUGGAAUUCCUGGUGAGCGGUGGAAUGCAGCAGAUAUCAGGAGGAACACCAGUGGCGAAGGCGGUUUUCUGGGCCUUUCCUGACGCUGAGGAGCGAAAGCGUGGGGAGCGAACAGGCUUAGAUACCCUGGUAGUCCACGCUGUAAACGGUGGGUACUAGGUGUGGGGUCCAUUCCACGGGUUCCGUGCCGUAGCUAACGCUUUAAGUACCCCGCCUGGGGAGUACGGCCGCAAGGCUAAAACUUAAAUGAAUUGACGGGGUCAUAGCUGUUUCCU
Molecule: ribosomal RNA, 568 nt
Filed under: uncultured bacterium
Lineage: Bacteria
Description: partial 16S ribosomal RNA
Rfam family: Bacterial small subunit ribosomal RNA
Source: RNAcentral